RNAcentral lists this ribosomal RNA (301 nucleotides) under uncultured bacterium. RNAcentral's name for it is "partial 16S ribosomal RNA". It matches the Rfam family "Bacterial small subunit ribosomal RNA", at positions 509 to 807 of the family's 1533-position model. The record is from RNAcentral.
CAGUCGCCACGGUAAUACGUAGGGGGCAAGCGUUAUCCGGAUCUACUGGGUGUAAAGGGAGCGCAGGCGGUCUGGCAAGUUGAGAGUGGAAGCAGGGGGCUCAACCCCCUGACCGCUCCCAAAACUGUUGGACUGGAGUAUGGGAGAGGCAGGCGGAAUUCCUAGUGUAGCGGUGAAAUGCUCAGAUAUUAGGAAGAACACCGGUGGCGAAGGCGGCCUGCUGGACCAAAACUGACGCUGAGGCUCGAGAGCGUGGGGAGCGAACAGGAUUAGAUACCCCGGUAGUCCCUGUCUCUUAUAC